UCUGGAUGGAGCCAAUGGAUGUAGGAUCGAGGUGGGAUCACUCUGGAUGGAUCCAAUGGAUGUGGUAUCGAGGUGGGAUCACUCUGGAUGGAUCUGAUGGAUGUAGGAUCGAGGUGGGAUCACUCCGGAUGGAUCCGAUGGAUGUAGGAUCGAGGUGGGAUCACUCUGGACGGAUCCAAUGGAUGUAGGAUCGAGGUGGGAUCACUCUGGACGGAUCCAAUGGAUGUAGAAUCGUGGUGGGAUCACUCUGGAUGGAUCUGAUGGAUGUAGGAUCACGGUGGGAUCACUCUGGAUGGAUCCGAUGGACGUAGGAUCGAGGUGGGAUCACUCUGGAUGGAUCCGAUGGACGUAGGAUCG
Long non-coding RNA from Tympanuchus pallidicinctus (lesser prairie-chicken), 357 nucleotides. RefSeq lists it as uncharacterized. The record is from RefSeq and is a predicted model, not a curated record. The transcript has 3 exons. Lineage: Eukaryota; Metazoa; Chordata; Aves; Galliformes; Phasianidae.